UACGAAGGGUGCAAGCGUUACUCGGAAUUACUGGGCGUAAAGCGUGCGUAGGUGGUCUGUUAAGUCUGAUGUGAAAGCCCUGGGCUCAACCUGGGAAUUGCAUUGGAUACUGGCAGGCUAGAGUGCGGUAGAGGGUAGUGGAAUUCCCGGUGUAGCAGUGAAAUGCGUAGAGAUCGGGAGGAACACCAGUGGCGAAAGCGGCCGACUGGGCCUUACCUGACGCUGAGACGCGAAAGCGUGGGGAGCGAACCGG
Molecule: ribosomal RNA, 253 nt
Filed under: uncultured bacterium
Lineage: Bacteria
Description: partial 16S ribosomal RNA
Rfam family: Bacterial small subunit ribosomal RNA
Source: RNAcentral